UACUGGCAAAAUUAGGUAAGAAAAUCGCUAUCUUUAUUAUCUUCUGAAAAUAGUAAAGUAUAACCAGAGUUUACAAAUGGGUAGCUUAAAGGACAUGUAACCUGCAGAUAAAUAAAUAACCGUGUGUAUUUUUGCAUUGCUUUAUCACAGAUGAUCAAGUUAGAUGCUCACCUAAUGUGUUGCUGAGUCAUCAAGGAUCCAGCUUGUUCUUGAAACAUUGAAGUUUGCGCUCUGCAAGUGAACGAUGCCUUGUGGUGCCAUCCCAAAGAAGUUCAAAAUCACUCUCACGGACCUUUUCCUGGACUGUGCCUAGCUGGUGGAAUGACCUCCCAAUUUCAAUUCGUACAGCUGAGGCUUUACUCAUCCUCAAGAAACAUCUAAAGACUCAUCUUUUUCACCAGAACUUAACCAACUAAUACUAGCCCUUUUCCUUCUUUUCUUAAAAAAAAAAAAAAACCUGGCUAUGUGUUCUGUACUACACUAACUGAGACUUGUCAUGGCACUUUUAUACUGUUGUUGUUCUCUUGUUGACCUGACUGCUUCUAUUGUUCUCAUUUGUAAGUCGCUUUGGAUAAAAGCAUCUGUUAAAUGAUUAAAUGUAGAUGUUUAUACAGGACGGUACAGAAAGUGCACAAGUGGGAGAGAGUGGAGGGGACAGCGUC
Molecule: long non-coding RNA, 662 nt
Organism: Carassius carassius (crucian carp)
Lineage: Eukaryota; Metazoa; Chordata; Actinopteri; Cypriniformes; Cyprinidae
Exons: 3
Source: RefSeq, a predicted model, not a curated record